Molecule: transfer RNA, 76 nt
Filed under: subsurface metagenome
Description: tRNA-Asp
Rfam family: tRNA
About the family: Transfer RNA (tRNA) molecules are approximately 80 nucleotides in length. Their secondary structure includes four short double-helical elements and three loops (D, anti-codon, and T loops).
Source: RNAcentral
CGGGGCCGUAGCUCAAUUGGCUAGAGCAUCGGACUGUCGAUCCGAAGGUUGUGAGUUCGAGUCUCAUCGGCCUCGU